Oreochromis niloticus (Nile tilapia) is the source of this 857-nucleotide long non-coding RNA. RefSeq lists it as uncharacterized. The transcript has 2 exons. The record is from RefSeq and is a predicted model, not a curated record. Lineage: Eukaryota; Metazoa; Chordata; Actinopteri; Cichliformes; Cichlidae.
GAGUUGUCAGAGCACCGUCCUGUCCUCAGUCAGUGUUCAGGAAAAGCGCCAGGACUGUGUGUCUGCAUGCGGGAACGUUUAUCUUUAAUGUGUGGCUUUAUCCAAACUGCUAUAAAGAUUUCCAUUUGGCUAAGGCCACUAUCACUACUGGUAACAUGAAGUGAUACUUGGACCCUAAUGAGGUUGCAUAAGUAGUCCAGUUACUCCAAGAUGGCACAUCAAUACGCAACAUUGGCAUAAGGUAUGCUGUGUCUCCUAGCACAGUCUUAAGAGCAUAGAGGAGAUUCCAGGAGACAGGCAGUGACUCUACCAGAGCUGGAAAGAGCCUUAGGAGGUUCUUAACCCACCAGCAGGACCAGGAUCUCCUCCUUUGUGCAAGGAAGAACAGGAUGCCAGGACUGCCAGAACCCUACAAAAUUACCUCCAGCAGGCUACUGGUGUGAAUGUCUCUGACCAAACAAACAGGAACAGACUUCAUGAGGGCCCGACGUACUCCAGCCUGGCACCAUGGACCCAGACUGGUAUUAGCCAUAGAAUACUGGAAUUGGCAGGUCCAUCACUGGCACCCUGUGCUUUUACAGAUGAGAGCAGCUUCACCCUGAGCACACAUGACAGACAUGAAACGGUCUGGAGAAUCUGUGGAGAGUGUUAUGUCACCGGUUACAUUAUUCUACAAUAUAUGCAACAUUGUGAAGACCCCAUACUUCACUCUGCCCGCUCAUAUGUAGUUGAUGCAUGCUGUCCUAAAAUGCAUUUAAAACAGGAGAGGGGCAUGGUGCCAACGACCCUCUGCCAGAUAACAGCUGGUGUCAGCAUGGCCCCUCCCAAGAAUCCUCAAUAUCUGCACGUAUUUAAAA